Molecule: ribosomal RNA, 435 nt
Filed under: Staphylococcus aureus
Lineage: Bacteria; Bacillati; Bacillota; Bacilli; Caryophanales; Staphylococcaceae
Description: partial 23S ribosomal RNA
Rfam family: Bacterial large subunit ribosomal RNA
Source: RNAcentral
UUCAUAGAGUGUAAAGGCAUAAGGGAGCUUGACUGCGAGACCUACAAGUCGAGCAGGGUCGAAAGACGGACUUAGUGAUCCGGUGGUUCCGCAUGGAAGGGCCAUCGCUCAACGGAUAAAAGCUACCCCGGGGAUAACAGGCUUAUCUCCCCCAAGAGUUCACAUCGACGGGGAGGUUUGGCACCUCGAUGUCGGCUCAUCGCAUCCUGGGGCUGUAGUCGGUCCCAAGGGUUGGGCUGUUCGCCCAUUAAAGCGGUACGCGAGCUGGGUUCAGAACGUCGUGAGACAGUUCGGUCCCUAUCCGUCGUGGGCGUAGGAAAUUUGAGAGGAGCUGUCCUUAGUACGAGAGGACCGGGAUGGACAUACCUCUGGUGUACCAGUUGUCGUGCCAACGGCAUAGCUGGGUAGCUAUGUGUGGACGGGAUAAGUGCUGAA